CAGCAGCCGCCGCGGGAAUACGAGGGGUGCAAGCGUUGUUCGGAAUUAUUGGGCGUAAAGGGCGCGUAGGCGGUUUGACAAGUCUGAUGUGAAAUCUCUGGGCUCAACCCAGAGUCUGCAUCGGAAACUGUCGAGCUUGAGUAUGGGAGAGGUGAGUGGAAUUUCCGGUGUAGCGGUGAAAUGCGUAGAUAUCGGAAGGAACACCUGUGGCGAAAGCGGCUCACUGGACCAUUACUGACGCUGAGGCGCGAAAGCUAGGGGAGCAAACAGGAUUAGAUACCCCGGUAGUCCCUGUCUCUUAUAA
Molecule: ribosomal RNA, 304 nt
Filed under: uncultured bacterium
Lineage: Bacteria
Description: partial 16S ribosomal RNA
Rfam family: Bacterial small subunit ribosomal RNA
Source: RNAcentral